This 243-nucleotide ribosomal RNA is filed under the name Helix valentini. RNAcentral describes it as "partial 16S ribosomal RNA". Lineage: Eukaryota; Metazoa; Mollusca; Gastropoda; Stylommatophora; Helicidae. The record is from RNAcentral.
CAUUGACUGUGCAAAGGUAGCAUAAUCAGUUGGCUUUUAAUUGAAGUCUGGUAUGAAUGAAAAUAUGGGGGAUAACUGUCUUAGCAUAUUCAUUCGAAUUUAUUUAGUAAGUGCAAAUACUUACAAACUUCAAAAAGACGAGAAGACCCUAGAAACUUGAAGUAGUUUUUGUUGGGGCGACAGAAUUACAUUUAACUAAUUUUAAGAAACAUGACAUUUAAUUGAAAGAAUAAGUUACUCUAG